RNAcentral lists this ribosomal RNA (681 nucleotides) under Triticum aestivum (bread wheat). Its description in RNAcentral is "partial small subunit ribosomal RNA". Lineage: Eukaryota; Viridiplantae; Streptophyta; Magnoliopsida; Poales; Poaceae. The record is from RNAcentral.
UACCUCCGACGAAGCGGUGUUCCCUAGGUUGAAGAGCGAAGCGGUGGGGUCAGAGGUGGACGGGGUUAGAAGUCCGGCAGCAGGGGUUGGGUGGUCCUCUAGCCCCAGCUGAAGCAGCGACCACUGCCGCGGGAGCGCAAGCCGAGGCCGUAGUCCCCGGACUUGUACAAUCCCAGCAAGCUCGACCAGGAGGAGGACGAGGAGCACGACGAGAAGGGGAGGGGGCGGGGGCGGUCACAGCGGAGCGACACGGGCGAGCGCCGCUGGAGGUUGCGGAGGAGGGUGUGGAUGCGGGCGGGGCAUAGGGUGGAAGAAGCUGCUACAGCAGCUGUUCAUACCGACCCUGUGGCUGCGGGUCCCCGUGGCGCCAGCGCGACCGCGCCCGGUUGGCUGCCCCGGCAGCUAACCCCAGCGAGGCUGCGGGGGUGCCACCUCCUCCACCAGCCCGGGCUGCCCCAGCUGAAGCAGCGGCCGCUACUGCGGGACCGCAAGCCGAGGCCCCAGUGCCUGGAUUUGUACCAUCCCGGCAACCUCGACCACCAGAGGUUACCGCGACCGCUCCCGGAGCGUCUCGAGCUCAACGACAGCCAAAGAGCCAAACGACGCGACGAGAAGUGUCAGCACGUCGACCGGUAGCGGCGAUCCCUAAACAGCAGGUUCCGUCAGUUAGGAAAGGACAUU